This is a non-coding RNA of Homo sapiens (human), 75 nucleotides long. NCBI's taxonomy places the organism in Eukaryota, Metazoa, Chordata, Mammalia, Primates, Hominidae. The record is from Rfam.
GGUUCCAUGGUGUAAUGGUGAGCACUCUGGACUCUGAAUCCAGAAUCAGCUUAAAUUAAACCUAUACUGUUACUG